Molecule: ribosomal RNA, 101 nt
Filed under: uncultured bacterium
Lineage: Bacteria
Description: partial 16S ribosomal RNA
Rfam family: Bacterial small subunit ribosomal RNA
Source: RNAcentral
UACACACCGCCCGUCACACCACGAAAGUGUACUGGACCAGAAGCCGCCGAGCCAACCCGUAAGGGAGGCAGGUGCCUAAGGUCUGGCCCAUGAUUGGGGUG